Non-coding RNA from Bactrocera oleae (olive fruit fly), 1542 nucleotides. NCBI's taxonomy places the organism in Eukaryota, Metazoa, Arthropoda, Insecta, Diptera, Tephritidae. The record is from RefSeq and is a predicted model, not a curated record.
CGCCAUGUAUUUCGUGUGCUAACUAAGCGCAGCGUCGUCGGUACGUCUGUACGUCCGUCGCUGCUUCAACGACGAGUAGAUCACAUUGCACAUUUCCAUUUGUAUUGAGUAAUCAUGUAAUCUAAAGUGCAUACACUGGCGUGUGGUGGUGGGGCUUGGUGUGUGUUGUGCGCCAUACUUGCUGGACUCCGACCGUGGCGUUUGCAUAGUCACGCGUCAGGGCCGCACUCUCACUCCGCAUGGGUCCAUUGCUUAAUCGAGGCUGCGCGACGGCAGCAAGCGUACUCGUAUCGUUAGUUCGGUUUCUUGGCGUAUGCGCCGUCGAACACCGUUAGCGUGUAUAAGAACGUUGAAAGCAACUCCAGCAGCGUGGCGUAACUAAUUACAUGUAGCACAAAGCUAUAUGUUUUGCGUUAAUUGGCGUUUAGCGAAUAUAAUUUAGUAUUAUCCAACGAAAAGUUGCGGAGCUAAGGUUAAUCAAGAAUUGCUGCUAACAAUGAGCAGUAUAAGGCGGUGCGCAUAGCAUGGAUACAGAAUGCCUCUAACUUUGCUUCCUUGGGUGACCAGGGCGUAUACGUAACUACUUAUUAAGUACACAGGAAUGUACAUAAUAUGAGUGUUUGCUAAAAGAUUUUGCACAUAACCGAAUGCAAGGACUUGGAAAGUGAUUACAACGAAAUGUUAACAUUUGAUUUUCAAUAUACAAUAUUUACUUCCCUUUCACAGAAUUCAAUCAGAAAGCUUCCAUAAAUUAAUAUGAAUUAAUGUUAAUUGUGCAUACAUAUUUUUUAUUAUAUUUGCGAUAUGUUAAUUAUGCCAACAAUAUGUUUGUAUAACAUAAUAUUUACAUACUGCAACAACUGAAUUUCGCAGUAAGCGCAACAAGUCGGCUAACAAAGCAACUUACAAUGGCACAGUGUUAGCUGCGACGCCAAUGGGCCACGUUGCUCGAAGCAUUCUCGGCAGCAACUUGAUGAAUGUCAAUCACACGUGAGAGCGAAUUGUGCAAAUACCCAAACGUGACUCAACGUGAUGAUGUUAAUCGCCUUCGCUCUCGACAGCCCCCCACAGCACAGCACAGGGUGGUGUGCCGUUGAACAUACACACAUACACGGUUACAAUUUGCUAUUUGCUCUGGAAGUGUGCUUACAUGUGUGUGUACACUUAAUUGUGGGAAUUUCAGUAGAAAAUAGUUUUCAUAUUUUUAUCUAACUAUGGAAGUAUGCUUGUAUGUAUAUGCUGCACAAGUAGGCGUGGUAGCACUGUAGACCACUAAAUCAACGUGAUAAUUCGCAGCAAAUAUUUGUUCUAAAUAAACAGUUAUCUAAUCUUAAGUUUUAUUUUGAAAAUAUGUAAAUAAUUGUAAAUUAAGUCAACAUUCUUAUGCAAUAGCAGAUAAUAUACAAAGUGGCACGCAUACACAAACAUAAAUGGGCGCAUAUAAUGUUGUAUGCAUAUGCGUAAUUGUAGAUAUGGUGAUGUUUAUAUAAAUCAUACAUACAUACAUAUUUAUGUAUUAUAUUCAAAUUAUUUGGAAAACAA